GACACGACUCUCGGCAAUGGAUAUCUCGGCUCUCGCAUCGAUGAAGAGCGCAGCGAAAUGCGAUAUGUGGUGCGAAUUGCAGAAUCCCGCGAACCAUCGAGUCUUUGAACGCAAGUUGCGCCCGAGGCCAGCCGGCCAAGGGCACGUCCGCCUGGGCGUCAAGC
This 164-nucleotide ribosomal RNA is filed under the name Trichopilia sanguinolenta. RNAcentral describes it as "5.8S ribosomal RNA". It matches the Rfam family "5.8S ribosomal RNA". Rfam says of the family: 5.8S ribosomal RNA (5.8S rRNA) is a component of the large subunit of the eukaryotic ribosome. It is transcribed by RNA polymerase I as part of the 45S precursor that also contains 18S and 28S rRNA. RNAcentral also lists the same sequence under 1 other name. The record is from RNAcentral. Lineage: Eukaryota; Viridiplantae; Streptophyta; Magnoliopsida; Asparagales; Orchidaceae.